This 122-nucleotide small RNA is filed under the name Salmonella enterica subsp. enterica. RNAcentral's name for it is "RtT sRNA". It matches the Rfam family "RtT RNA". From Rfam's summary of the family: This family represents a bacterial cis-regulatory element known as RtT RNA. The exact function of RtT is unknown although it is thought that it may be involved in changing the cellular response in relation to amino acid starvation. Lineage: Bacteria; Pseudomonadati; Pseudomonadota; Gammaproteobacteria; Enterobacterales; Enterobacteriaceae. The record is from RNAcentral.
AUUCUACCCAUGUGGGGAGGAUGGCUUCGACUGAGGUUCGAUUCGAGCGCAACGAAAGCGUUACCACCCGAACGCGGCGGCCGAAGAACGGCGCGCAGCGCUGAGUCAUCUUCCCACCACCG